Molecule: RNA transcript, 993 nt
Organism: Eucalyptus grandis
Lineage: Eukaryota; Viridiplantae; Streptophyta; Magnoliopsida; Myrtales; Myrtaceae
Exons: 1
Source: RefSeq, a predicted model, not a curated record
AGAUCGGACCUUUUCCAUAAUUCCCCUCAACUCCCCCCUUCGUCAACAUUGUCUUAACUCCUCGUAUAUAUCUCUCCAUCACUGAGACCUCUCACUUUCAGGACAAGGUCUUCUCUCUCUCUCUCUUUUCUUUCUAGAUAAAGUUCGUCGUCUCUCCUCCAUUCACGCCUUAAAAACCCACAUCACGAUUCUCCCGAUCUUUGUCCCUGUUCUCCUCUUCAUCCCUUAUAAUUCCUGAGCGCUUGGCAGUUGGUACGAGUCUUUUCGUCGCCGGAAGAAGCCGUGCUGCAUUUGGCAGCUGUUCAUGCGAUGGGGAACUACGCGUCCUGUGCCCUAUCUGGCCCCGCCGGGCGGCAGUCGAGGGCCGCCAAGGUGAUCUUCCCAGGCGGCGAGGUCCAGCAGUUCCACGCGCCCACCAAGGCCGCGGAGCUCAUGCUCGAGACCCCGAGCUACUUCCUCGUCAACACGCGGUCCCUCCGCGCCGGGCGGCGGUUCUCGGCUCUCAACGCGGACGAGGACCUCGAGAUGGCGAACGUCUACGUCAUGUUCCCGAUGCGGCGGCUCAACUCCUUCGUGACCGCGGCCGACAUGGGCGCGCUGUUCCUCGCCGCGAGCUCCGCCGCCAAGAAAGGCGGGCCUCCGGGGAGCCGGGUGGGGGCCCUGCCGGAGGCGGGCGAGAAGCGGAGGGGGAGGCCGAGGCCGAGGCCGCCGCAGCCGCCGCCGUGCCGAAGCUGAACCUGGAGGAGAUCGAAGGGUUCUCGACGCAGGAGUUCAUGCAUAGACUCUCCAUGUCGAAGUCAAAGAAGCCUUUGCUGGAGACCAUAACCGAAGACUGAGAGCCGAGGUAGUUGGUAGCCGCGGCAUGAUUGGGGCCGUGUAGAAGUCUCUCUCUGAUCCCGUCAAAUUAGCUUAGACGUGUAAGAAAAAUGGAAAGAAAAUGUUUGUAUUUUUGUUGAAAGGAUCCGUGUAUAAAAAAUUUCAAUUUAAAGGUAA